UAAGGAAUAUUGGUCAAUGGACGCAAGUCUGAACCAGCCAUGCCGCGUGAAGGAUGAAGGUCCUCUGGAUUGUAAACUUCUUUUAUCUGGGACGAAAACGGGAUUUUUAUCUCAAUUGACGGUACCAGAGGAAUAAGCACCGGCUAACUCCGUGCCAGCAGCCGCGGUAAUACGGAGGGUGCGAGCGUUAUCCGGAUUUACUGGGUUUAAAGGGUGCGUAGGUGGGCUUAUAAGUCAGUGGUGAAGUCUCCGAGCUUAACUUGGAAGCUGCCGUUGAUACUAUAGUUCUUGAAUUAUCUGGAGGUAAGCGGAAUAUGUCAUGUAGCGGUGAAAUGCUUAGAUAUGACAUAGAACACCAAUUGCGAAGGCAGCUUACUACAUAUAAAUUGACGCUGAGGCACGAAAGCGUGGGGAUCAAACA
RNAcentral lists this ribosomal RNA (421 nucleotides) under uncultured bacterium. RNAcentral describes it as "bacterial SSU rRNA". It matches the Rfam family "Bacterial small subunit ribosomal RNA", at positions 355 to 774 of the family's 1533-position model. The record is from RNAcentral.